RNAcentral lists this ribosomal RNA (440 nucleotides) under uncultured bacterium. RNAcentral describes it as "partial 16S ribosomal RNA". It matches the Rfam family "Bacterial small subunit ribosomal RNA", at positions 338 to 795 of the family's 1533-position model. The record is from RNAcentral.
CCUACGGGAGGCAGCAGUGGGGGAUAUUGCACAAUGGGGGAAACCCUGAUGCAGCGACGCAGCGUGUGGGAAGACGGUCCUCUGGAUUGUAAACCACUGUCCCCCGGGACGAAGCUGACGGUACCUGGGGAGGAAGCUCCGGCUAACUACGUGCCAGCAGCCGCGGUAAUACGUAGGGAGCGAGCGUUGUCCGGAAUUACUGGGUGUAAAGGGAGCGUAGGCGGGACUGCAGGUUGGGGGUCAAAUCGCACGGCUCAACCGGUAGCGGAACUCAAAACUGGAGUUCUUGAGGGCAGUAGAGGCAGGCGGAAUUCGUAGUGUAGAGGUGAGAUGCGUAGAUAGUAGGAGGAACACCAGUGGCGAAGGGGGCCUGCUGGGCUGUUACGGACGCUGAGGCUCGAAAGUGUGGGUAGCAAACAGGAUUAGAUACCCGAGUAGUC